AACGAUUUGGGCACUGUCUCAACGAGAGACUCGGUGAAAUUUUAGUACCUGUGAAGAUGCAGGUUACCCGCGACAGGACGGAAAGACCCCAUGGAGCUUUACUGUAGUUUGAUAUUGAGUGUCUGUACCGCAUGUACAGGAUAGGUAGGAGCCGUAGAAAUCGGAACGCUAGUUUCGAUGGAGGCGCUGGUGGGAUACUACCCCUGCGUUAUGGCCACUCUAACCCGCACCACUGAUCGUGGUGGGAGACAGUGUCAGAUGGGCAGUUUGACUGGGGCGGUCGCCUCCUAAAAGGUAACGGAGGCGCCCAAAGGUUCCCUCAGAAUGGUUGGAAAUCAUUCGAAGAGUGUAAAGGCAGAAGGGAGCUUGACUGCGAGACCAACAAGUCGAGCAGGGACGAAAGUCGGGCUUAGUGAUCCGGUGGUUCCGCAUGGAAGGGCCAUCGCUCAACGGAUAAAAGCUACCC
RNAcentral lists this ribosomal RNA (466 nucleotides) under Listeria monocytogenes. RNAcentral describes it as "partial 23S ribosomal RNA". It matches the Rfam family "Bacterial large subunit ribosomal RNA", at positions 2003 to 2468 of the family's 2925-position model. The record is from RNAcentral. Lineage: Bacteria; Bacillati; Bacillota; Bacilli; Caryophanales; Listeriaceae.